CCCUUAGAUGUUCUGGGCCGCACGCGCGCUACACUGACGGAUUCAACGAGCUUACAACCUUGGCCGAAAGGUCUGGGUAAUCUCCAAAAUCCGUCGUGAUGGGGAUAGAUUAUUGCAAUUAUUAAUCUUCAACGAGGAAUGCCUAGUAAGCGCAAGUCAUCAGCUUGCGUUGAUUACGUCCCUGCCCUUUGUACACACCGCCCGUCGCUCCUACCGAUUGAGUGGUCCGGUGAGGCUUUGGGAUCUGAGCGGAAAGAGCGUUUCGCUGUUUCUGCUCGGAAAACUCAGUCGAACCUUAUCAUUUAGAGGAAGGAGAAGUCGUAACA
Molecule: ribosomal RNA, 326 nt
Filed under: uncultured eukaryote
Lineage: Eukaryota
Description: partial 18S ribosomal RNA
Rfam family: Eukaryotic small subunit ribosomal RNA
Source: RNAcentral